This 460-nucleotide ribosomal RNA is filed under the name uncultured bacterium. RNAcentral describes it as "partial 16S ribosomal RNA". It matches the Rfam family "Bacterial small subunit ribosomal RNA", at positions 338 to 795 of the family's 1533-position model. The record is from RNAcentral.
CCUACGGGUGGCAGCAGUGAGGAAUAUUGGUCAAUGGGCGCUAGCCUGAACCAGCCAAGUAGCGUGAAGGAUGACUGCCCUAUGGGUUGUAAACUUCUUUUAUAUGGGAAUAAAGUGCAGUAUGUAUACUUCUUUGCAUGUACCUUAUGAAUAAGGAUCGGCUAACUCCGUGCCAGCAGCCGCGGUAAUACGGAGGAUCCGAGCGUUAUCCGGAUUUAUUGGGUUUAAAGGGAGCGUAGGCGGGUUGUUAAGUCAGUUGUGAAAGUUUGCGGCUCAACCGUAAAAUUGCAGUUGAUACUGGCAGACUUGAGUACAGUAGAGGUAGGCGGAAUUCGUGGUGUAGCGGUGAAAUGCUUAGAUAUCACGAAGAACUCCGAUUGCGAAGGCAGCCUGCCGGACUGUAACUGACGCUGAUGCUCGAAAGUGUGGGUAUCAAACAGGAUUAGAUACCCCAGUAGUC